CAGUCGCCGCGGGAAUACAGAGGAUGCAAGCGUUAUCCGGAAUGAUUGGGCGUAAAGGGCUCGCAGGCGGUUUCUUAAGUCUGAUGUGAAAGCCCCCGGCUCAACCGGGGAGGGUCAUUGGAAACUGGGAAACUUGAGUGCAGAAGAGGAGAGUGGAAUUCCACGUGUAGCGGUGAAAUGCGUAGAGAUGUGGAGGAACACCAGUGGCGAAGGCGACUCUCUGGUCUGUAACUGACGCUGAGGAGCGAAAGCGUGGGGAGCGAACAGGAUUAGAUACCCGAGUAGUCCCUGUCUCUUAUAC
Molecule: ribosomal RNA, 301 nt
Filed under: uncultured bacterium
Lineage: Bacteria
Description: partial 16S ribosomal RNA
Rfam family: Bacterial small subunit ribosomal RNA
Source: RNAcentral